Long non-coding RNA from Olea europaea var. sylvestris, 1048 nucleotides. RefSeq lists it as uncharacterized. Lineage: Eukaryota; Viridiplantae; Streptophyta; Magnoliopsida; Lamiales; Oleaceae. The transcript has 5 exons. The record is from RefSeq and is a predicted model, not a curated record.
UUUAUUUCAAUGGUUGUUAAGAAGGGUUUUAAAUUUACCCUUAAUUAACACGCCUUAAUUCAUGCAGUUGUGGUUCAUCAAUACAGCGGGAAAUCCUUAGAUAUGACAUACCCAUCGGAAUUCCAAUUUUGAGAAAAUUGCUCAUCUAUUUAGUGAUGAUCGCGAGGACACAGAACAAGUUGGGGUUGAUCACAUUGCAUGAUGAGUGGAGCUGGUUGGCCAUUGGAACGUAACUAUCAUCGUUGAGGAGUCCUGAUGCCAAUAAUAUCUUAAAAAUAUAUUGCUGAUCUGGAUUGGAGCUCUCAUAGACAGAUGGAUUGUGAUAUGUAGCAACAUCAUCAGGAGUGGUGUUCAAUGAUCUAAGAAUAUAAGCUAACUGCUCAAUAUCUUCUUCAUCUGGACUUGGACCAUCAUCCUCUGUGCAGGAUUCUGAAGGCAAAAAGUUAAACCUGUAAGCUAGUGAGGUUGAACAAUGAGACACAGACCAAGAGAAGGCUAUUGUUGCUUUCUGACUUUACUGAAGCCGUAUCAACUUGGUACAAAUUGGUUGAUUUUGGUUUGAGUUUUCUAUUCGAGUAGCCUAAUCCUUCAAAUUGCGUACUGCACGGGUUUCUGACCCUGCCUGAAUCUGAAGAUGGAGUGGUGGGAUGAUAUUGUCUAUCAGUUGCGUGCUUCUUCUGUUGUGAUCGUGGGCUCAACAUUCCCGAACUCCUUCCAGAAGUACUGAUAUUUUCGACCUUAAUGUGAGGAGCUGAUUUUGAGAGUCUCGCUGUCGGAGUGUUUGCAAAUGUGAUAUUUCCAUAGUGGAGACCGAAGAGGAUCUUGAAAUCCUGACUUUGUCACUCGCUCUAGCUGGUUUCAUGUUAGCCGUUGAAGAUUCUGAUCUCUUUGUUGGAAUUGUCCCUUUGCUGGUUGGGAAUUGGCGAACAUUCUGUUGAUCCUUCCACAUUGACAAUCUAGAAUCUUGAUUGGAGCUUCUAAUUACCAAAUUAGAUAUGCUGGUUUGAGAUGCAAAUUCACGCACUUCUUUUUGGUUCUCCAAUCUAUU